RNAcentral lists this ribosomal RNA (200 nucleotides) under uncultured bacterium. RNAcentral's name for it is "partial 16S ribosomal RNA". It matches the Rfam family "Bacterial small subunit ribosomal RNA", at positions 524 to 723 of the family's 1533-position model. The record is from RNAcentral.
UACGGAGGGUCCGAGCGUUAAUCGGAAUUACUGGGCGUAAAGCGCGCGUAGGUGGAUUGGUCAGUCAGAUGUGAAAGCCCAGGGCUCAACCUUGGAACUGCAUCUGAUACUGCUAGUCUAGAAUACAGUAGAGGGUAGUGGAAUUUCCUGUGUAGCGGUGAAAUGCGUAGAUAUAGGAAGGAACACCAGUGGCGAAGGCG